GGGUUACAUUUACUCAAAGCUCAGCAAGUGGACUGAAGCAUACGGUGGCUUCUAUAAGCCAUCGUCGUACUUGGAAGAAAGGGCUACUAAAGGCUUGCCACUGAGCACCCCAAGUUCAGCUCGACCCCAGGCUUCAAGAGCGCGGCUGUGAUCGAAUUAGACUUUGGUGCAGCAUCUAAAAGCAUUCCUGGAGAUUAUUUUCUGGUUAAGUGCAUCCAUUCUUGCAGUAAUGCAAAGGUAUACUGUUGUUCAUGGGUGAGAUGUCUGUUGCAGUAAGAAAAUAAGCUAC
RNAcentral lists this unclassified non-coding RNA (289 nucleotides) under Hevea brasiliensis (rubber tree). Lineage: Eukaryota; Viridiplantae; Streptophyta; Magnoliopsida; Malpighiales; Euphorbiaceae. The record is from RNAcentral.